UACGUAGGGUGCGAGCGUUGUCCGGAAUUACUGGGCGUAAAGAGCUCGUAGGUGGUUUGUCGCGUCGUCUGUGAAAUUCCGGGGCUUAACUUCGGGCGUGCAGGCGAUACGGGCAAUACUUGAGUGCUCUAGGGGAGACUGGAAUUCCUGGUGUAGCGGUGGAAUGCGCAGAUAUCAGGAGGAACACCGAUGGCGAAGGCAGGUCUCUGGGCAGUAACUGACGCUGAGGAGCGAAAGCAUGGGUAGCGAACAGGAUUAGA
RNAcentral lists this ribosomal RNA (260 nucleotides) under uncultured prokaryote. RNAcentral's name for it is "partial 16S ribosomal RNA". It matches the Rfam family "Bacterial small subunit ribosomal RNA", at positions 524 to 782 of the family's 1533-position model. The record is from RNAcentral.